UACAGAGGGUGCAAGCGUUAAUCGGAAUGACUGGGCGUAAAGCGCACGUAGGUGGUUUUUUAAGUUGGAUGUGAAAUCCCUGGGCUCAACCUAGGAAUGGCAUCCAAAACUGGAAGGCUCGAGUACAGUAGAGGGGGGUAGAAUUUCCGGUGUAGCGGUGAAAUGCGUAGAGAUCGGAAGGAAUACCAGUGGCGAAGGCGGCCCCCUGGACUGAUACUGACACUGAGGUGCGAAAGCGUGGGUAGCGAACAGG
RNAcentral lists this ribosomal RNA (253 nucleotides) under uncultured bacterium. Its description in RNAcentral is "partial 16S ribosomal RNA". It matches the Rfam family "Bacterial small subunit ribosomal RNA", at positions 524 to 776 of the family's 1533-position model. The record is from RNAcentral.